RNAcentral lists this ribosomal RNA (253 nucleotides) under uncultured bacterium. RNAcentral describes it as "partial 16S ribosomal RNA". It matches the Rfam family "Bacterial small subunit ribosomal RNA", at positions 524 to 776 of the family's 1533-position model. The record is from RNAcentral.
UACGUAGGGGGCUAGCGUUGUCCGGAAUCAUUGGGCGUAAAGCGCGCGUAGGCGGCCCGGUAAGUCCGCUGUAAAAGUCAAAGGCUCAACCUUUGAAUGUCAGUGGAUACUGCCGGGCUAGAGUCCGGAAGAGGCGAGUGGAACUCCUGGUGUAGCGGUGGAAUGCGCAGAUAUCAGGAAGAACACCGACGGCGAAGGCAGCAUCCUGGGAAGUUCCUGACGCUCGGGUGCGAAAGCCAGGGGAGCGAACGGG